AUCAAUUCCACUGUGUAGGAAGUCAUUUUUCCUAUCAAACACAGAAUAUCCAAUUAUUCUCAUCUAAUAACUGAUCUUGAUGUUUGAAGGCAAAAUGACUUCCUACACAGUGGAAUUGAUGUAUAUCCAUGUUAAGAAUCAAGCAGUAGACGCAUCUAAUUAUGCAAACUACCAAAUGCUAACAUACACAACUAACAAUUCCCAAACAUAUACUGCACCAACAUAGCACAACAUAGAAAACCUAACUAAAUAAUUAGAUGACAUGAACACGAGGGAAGUACACAGGUGACAGCUCACCCCACCCAUAAAUUUCAUGG
RNAcentral lists this unclassified non-coding RNA (317 nucleotides) under Hevea brasiliensis (rubber tree). The record is from RNAcentral. Lineage: Eukaryota; Viridiplantae; Streptophyta; Magnoliopsida; Malpighiales; Euphorbiaceae.